This 465-nucleotide ribosomal RNA is filed under the name uncultured Klebsiella sp. RNAcentral describes it as "bacterial SSU rRNA". It matches the Rfam family "Bacterial small subunit ribosomal RNA", at positions 338 to 795 of the family's 1533-position model. The record is from RNAcentral. Lineage: Bacteria; Pseudomonadati; Pseudomonadota; Gammaproteobacteria; Enterobacterales; Enterobacteriaceae.
CCUACGGGGGGCAGCAGUGGGGAAUAUUGCACAAUGGGCGCAAGCCUGAUGCAGCCAUGCCGCGUGUGUGAAGAAGGCCUUCGGGUUGUAGAGCACUUUCAGCGGGGAGGAAGGCGGUGAGGUUAAUAACCUCAUCGAUUGACGUUACCCGCAGAAGAAGCACCGGCUAACUCCGUGCCAGCAGCCGCGGUAAUACGGAGGGUGCAAGCGUUAAUCGGAAUUACUGGGCGUAAAGCGCACGCAGGCGGUCUGUCAAGUCGGAUGUGAAAUCCCCGGGCUCAACCUGGGAACUGCAUUCGAAACUGGCAGGCUAGAGUCUUGUAGAGGGGGGUAGAAUUCCAGGUGUAGCGGUGAAAUGCGUAGAGAUCUGGAGGAAUACCGGUGGCGAAGGCGGCCCCCUGGACAAAGACUGACGCUCAGGUGCGAAAGCGUGGGGAGCAAACAGGAUUAGAUACCCUAGUAGUC